CCAGACUCCUACGGGAGGCAGCAGUGAGGAAUAUUGGUCAAUGGGCGCGAGCCUGAACCAGCCAAGUCGCGUGAGGGAGGACGGCCCUACGGGUUGUAAACCUCUUUUGCCGGGGAGCAACGGGCGCCACGUGUGGCGUCACUGAGAGUACCCGGAGAAAAAGCAUCGGCUAACUCCGUGCCAGCAGCCGCGGUAAUACGGAGGAUGCGAGCGUUAUCCGGAUUUAUUGGGUUUAAAGGGUGCGUAGGCGGAUCGUUAGGUCGGGGGUAAAGUGGGGGGCCUCACCCCCUUCCCGCCAUUGAAACUGGCGUUCUUGAGUGGAAGAGAAGUAUGCGGAAUGCGUGGUGUAGCGGUGAAAUGCAUAGAUAUCGCGCAGAACUCCGAUUGCGAAGGCAGCAUGCCGGCUCCACACUGACGCUGAGGCACGAAAGCGUGGGUAUCGAACAGGAUUAGAUACCCGAGUAA
This 465-nucleotide ribosomal RNA is filed under the name uncultured bacterium. Its description in RNAcentral is "bacterial SSU rRNA". It matches the Rfam family "Bacterial small subunit ribosomal RNA", at positions 331 to 793 of the family's 1533-position model. The record is from RNAcentral.